GGUGCAUUAGCUAGUUGGUGAGGUAACGGCUCACCAAGGCCACGAUGCAUAGCCGACCUGAGAGGGUGAUCGGCCACACUGGGACUGAGACACGGCCCAGACUCCUACGGGAGGCAGCAGUAGGGAAUCUUCCGCAAUGGACGAAAGUCUGACGGAGCAACGCCGCGUGAGUGAUGAAGGCUUUCGGGUCGUAAAACUCUGUUGUUAGGGAAGAACAAGUAUGAGAGUAACUGCUCGUACCUUGACGGUACCUAACCAGAAAGCCACGGCUAACUACGUGCCAGCAGCCGCGGUAAUACGUAGGUGGCAAGCGUUAUCCGGAAUUAUUGGGCGUAAAGCGCGCGCAGGCGGUUUCUUAAGUCUGAUGUG
Molecule: ribosomal RNA, 369 nt
Filed under: uncultured Bacillus sp.
Lineage: Bacteria; Bacillati; Bacillota; Bacilli; Caryophanales; Bacillaceae
Description: bacterial SSU rRNA
Rfam family: Bacterial small subunit ribosomal RNA
Source: RNAcentral